UAUAAGUUACAUAGUAUAUAUAAAGAAAGUUGGAAUGAAAACUUGAUAUCACAAAUAUUACAAUUUACAACAGAAAACAUGAAAAAUGAAGCCAUACCACAUUAUUACCACCCACUUUCUUUUAUACAACUAGCAACCCUUUCUCUGUUUCUUGCUAUAUUUGCAAUGCGAUAUCUUAUACUAGCUAAUGCUAGUGCUGAUGCUGUUGGUAACGAAACCGAUUAUACGGGAUUGUCGGCCAUCAAGAGCAAACUUAUCGAUCGUAGUCCUGAUGGUGCUUUAAGCUCAUGGAAUCACACUUCUCACCAUUGUUUUUGGGAGGGUGUCAUUUGUGGGCACAAACAUAACAGGGUCACUGAGCUAGACCUCAAGGCGAGGGGUAUAUCAGGUACAAUAUCUCCCUUCAUUGGAAACCUCAGCUUCCUGAGAAAGAUUUCUCUUAACAACAAUGCCAGGUUAGGCGGCCUAAUCCCUCCUGAGAUCGGGCGUUUGUUCAGACUUCAGAUACUAAACCUCUACAACAACAGCCUGAUUGGGGAAAUCCCGGGUAGCAUAGCGAGUUGCAGUAACCUGCAAGUUCUUUUUGUAGGCUACAACAAGUUACAAGGGAGACUUCCAAUGGGAUUAAAAGCAUUGUCUCACCUCAAAAAACUUUCUGUCCAUUAUAACAAUUUUAGUGGACCGAUAUUCGAGAUCAUAGACAGCUUGUUGUCCUUAGAAAUUUUGUCUGGAACCUCCAAUUCUUUUACAGGAACUAUUCCUGAGAAAGUUUAUAGGAUGACAAAUCUGUCUUACCUGAAUUUGUCAUUAAAUAAACUAUCAGGUGUGAUUCCCCAAUCCAUUGCUAACCUCUCAUCAUCCCUAACACAGUUAGAUUUGUCUAGUAAUCAACUACAAGGUAAGCUUCCGAAGGAAUUAGGAUGGAUAAGUAGUCUACAAAAGCUCGAUGUUGGGUCCAACGAUUUCAAUGGUAUGAUUCCUACUUCAAUCUUCAACCUCUCUUCCCUUAUAUACUUGGACUUAUCUUGCAACCGUUUACAAGGAAGUAUUCCAUCAGAUAUCGCCUUCACACUUCCUCGUUUACAAUCUCUAAACCUUUAUCAUAAUAAUUUGACAAGGUUAAUACCAAACUCUUUACCAAAUCUCACAUAUAAUCUUCUUGACAUUCAGUUAGAUGAUAACAACUUCACAGGAAACAUGCCACUUCAUUUAGGGCGCCUUUCUAACCUUAGAACCUUAAACAUUGGCAAUAAUAAUUUUGUAGGAGACAUCAACUUUAUUAGUACCCUAGUUAAUUGUACCAAACUAAAUAUCCUAGACAUACAAAUAAAUAGCUUCACAGGAACAAUACCGAAAGCUGUAGCCAAUCUUUCAAACAAUUUGAUUGUUCUUGGGCUUGGAACAAACCCUAUAACCGGAGAAAUUCCAAUAGGUAUUGGUAACCUCGUCAACCUUUGGUACAUUGUGAUGCCAUCGAGCAACCUCAAAGGCUCCAUCCCUCACGAUUUUGGUAACCUUCAAAAGCUAGAGAGUCUAAACUUACACUCCAACAAACUAACAGGUGAAAUUCCCAAUUCCUUUGGAAAUUCAUCACAUUUAACCAAACUUUCUUUAUAUGAAAACAACUUGCAAGGAAAAAUACCUCCCACACUUGGUAAUUGCUCAUACUUGUUAUAUUUGGAUUUAUCCUCUAAUAAAUUGUCCAAAGAGCUCUUUACAAACACUAAUUUUAUCAUGUUAUGGUUGAGUCAAAAUCGCUUGGAAGGGUCUUUACCUAUAGAGAUUAGCAACCAAAAAAAUUUGGAAGUUCUCGGUGUGAACAAUAAUUGUUUUUCUGCUGAAAUUCCAAAUUUCUUUAACAGCUUACCCAAUCUUCAACAAGUGUAUAUGGAUCAUAAUUUCUUCCAAGGUUUGAUUCCUCCAUCAUUUUCCUAUUUGAAAGGUCUUUUGAAUGUUGAUCUUUCCCAUAACAACCUUUCAGGCCCUAUUCCAGAAUAUCUCUCUUCAUUUCCCAUGAUAUACAGCCUAAACUUAUCUUAUAAUAAUUUUAAGGGAAGCGUUCCAACUAAAGGAGUUUUUUCGAAUGCAAGUGCAAUCUCUCGUUGGAAACAGUGGACUUUGUGGAGGAAUUCAUGAGCUUCAUCUACCAAGAUGUGAGAAGAAAGAUAAGAAGAAAAGAAGAAUGUCUCGUGUUCUCACGUCGACAAUAAUUCCAACAGGUUGUGCACUUGUUGGGGUGAUAGCCAUGGCAACAUGCAUCUGGUUAUACAUGAUAAGUCAUAACAGAAAAAGAAAAUCAAAUUCAGCAAAUGCUUUAGAGAAGGAAUCAUUCUUGAAAGUAUCUUAUGACAAGCUACUCAAAGCAACUGACGGAUUUUCUCCGGGAAGUCUGAUUGGUUCCGGUACUUUUGGGUCUGUGUUUAAGGGAAUCCUCGAUGGAAAGACGGUUGCUGUAAAAGUACUCAAUUUGCAACAACGAGGUGGUUCAAAGAGUUUCAUGGCAGAGUGUGAAGCAUUACGGAAUAUUCGACAUCGUAAUUUGGUGAGAAUAAUGACUGCUUGCUCAAGUACAGACUUCAAGAGAAAUGAUUUCAAAGCUCUUGUCUAUGAAUUCAUGCCCAAUGGAAGUCUUGAUAGAUGGUUACAUGAAGAUGGAAACAUGAGCCUUCUCCAAAGGGUAAAUAUAGCAAUUGAUGUGGCUCAUGCACUGAACUAUCUCCACCAUGAAUGUGGAAACUCAAUCGUACAUUGCGACCUUAAACCAAGCAAUAUAUUACUUGAUCAUGAUAUGGUCGCACAUGUAUCUGAUUUUGGGUUAGCGAAGAUUGUUGCUCAACCCUUACAUCCAAAUCAAAGCAGUUCGAUUGGAGUUAGAGGAACUGUUAGGUAUGCUGCUCCAGAGUAUGGCUUGGGAGGUGAAGUAUCCGCUGAAGCUGAUAUCUACAGUUACGGAAUCUUGUUGCUUGAGCUUAUAACAAGAAAGAGACCCACAGACGAUAUGUUCAAGGAAGAAUUCAACCUCCAUACGUUUGCAAAGGCAGCAUUGGCUGACCAAGUGUUGCAGAUUGUUGACACGGCCAUUACAGAGUGCGGAAUAGAAGAAGUCGAUAGUAGUAGAGGAUUAAGAACCCAAGAAAUGCUUAAAAAACAACAGGAAUGCAUAAUGGUUAUUGUAAAGAUUGGAGUGGCAUGCUCAAAUCAAUUGCCAAGGGAUCGAAUGACAAUAAGUGCAGUCAUACGCGAGCUACAACAAGCAAGAAAGACCCUUCUCAAUCCAAGGCACAGGCAUAAUAUUCCAAGAGGUACAAUUGAGCACGAUUUGCAGUAACAUGAAAUUGAACAAGAACUUCCCAUUCUUACAGAUUGUGUUAUAUUGGAUCCAGAAGUUCUAGAAAGUGGAGCAUCAGACAACACAAUAUAUUUUUUCUAUUUUUUGUUUCAGCUUCCUUUGUAUUGAUUGUGUGAGCAUUCUUCAAGUAAAGAAGAUAAAUUUGCCAGUAUUUUGGGGGGUUUGUAUUGAAUGAUAAAUACUGAUGAUCUUAAUAAAC
Chenopodium quinoa (quinoa) is the source of this 3548-nucleotide RNA transcript. It is a transcript of the gene named probable LRR receptor-like serine/threonine-protein kinase At3g47570, with no coding region annotated. The transcript is spliced from 2 exons. The record is from RefSeq and is a predicted model, not a curated record. NCBI's taxonomy places the organism in Eukaryota, Viridiplantae, Streptophyta, Magnoliopsida, Caryophyllales, Amaranthaceae.